This is a long non-coding RNA of Oncorhynchus tshawytscha (Chinook salmon), 4074 nucleotides long. NCBI's taxonomy places the organism in Eukaryota, Metazoa, Chordata, Actinopteri, Salmoniformes, Salmonidae. The record is from Ensembl.
AUCCCUAUACAUAUAUAUCACACAAGACUGAAAUGGAACAAAACUAUUUGACAUAGAAACACCAGCUUUUAGAUGUUUAAAAAAGGUAUAAUCUUUAUUAAUAAUGAAAUAGAUUAAUAACAUUCCACCCAUGAGACCAAAGAAAGAGUUACAGCUAUCUGCCUGUGAGCUGCUCAAGGCCAGGCACUAAGGUAAAGGUCCCAGUGUGAACCUGAACCAGGCCUGGACCAGCCAGGGCAAUAAAUCUAUCUGUCCUUGCUAUGAGAUACAGCAGACAGACUGCAGUCCUAGACAGUAAGGCACGUCUGAAACCCAUAUUGGCCCGAUACUGACUGGCAAACACACUCCGUCUUCUCUCUAUCUCUCUGCGUUGUUGGCUAGGACUAGGGAGCUAGAGUCCUGUCUAUCAUCUGCUGAAGAGUUUCAUAUGAUUCUUAAAUCCAAACAGAGCAAAAUGAAAGACGAAGUACAGACAGUUGACAUUUAUAAAAUAAUACUUUUUUAUUGCUUAUUUGAAUAAAUACUAUUUCAAAGUGAUCAAAUAACAUGGUAGCUACAUCGUAAUACUAGAUUGUCAGGAGACUUUACCUGAAACGCUGCAGUCACCUCUGUAGCUGAUCAAAACCUAGAUGACCUCGUUCCAAUGCUAGAUUAUCACGUGGUGCCAACAGCACCCUCUGCAGUUGUCUGGUGUAGUGUUGCUGCCCUUCAGGGAAGGCAGUAAGUUGUAUAGUUAUCUCCUGAUGGGGCAAAAUCACUACCCUGAAACCACACAACCUACUACCUCACCCCGUGCGAACAUCAGAGAGGCAGAUCCCUUUCAUGGCAAAAUAAUAAAUACAUCAUACAAACAAAAGUAUUGAAAUGAACAAAGAGCCAUACCAAAACAGAACCGAAUGAUGCAUAGAUGCCAUAUGAAUGACAUUACAAGCAUGUUAUCAUCUUGAAUUGGUUCAUAGUACAUAUUCCCAUCGAGGUCCGGGUGGCGGGCGCGCUGCAGAGAUGAUGGAUGAUAUUACAGCCACUUCAGGAAAGACAGUAAGUUGUAUAGUUAUCUGACAGGAAGGGUAUGACCCUAAAACUAUACAACCUACUACCUCACCCCAAAGGACCAUCACAGACCCGGCGGCCUACACUGGUACUCCAGUACCUUAGUCCCAGUCAACCAGGUCAGGACAACUUGUUUUCAUUUUUUUUAAAAGGAGAUGAGAGUUUGGAUCCACUAUUGUAAUUUCUCGAUUUAUUUUUGGACAGGACAGAUGUUAAGUCCAAAUCAAAUGUAUUUAUAAAGCCCUUCGUACAUCAGCUGAUAUCUCAAAGUACUGCACAGAAACCCAGCCUAAAACCCCAAACAGCAAGCAAUGCAGGUGUAGAAGCACGGUGUCUAGGAAAAACUCCCUAGAAAGGCCAAAACCUAGGAAGAAAGGAAGAGAGGAACCAGGCUAUGAGGGGUGGCCAGUCCUCUUCUGGCUGUGCCAAGAUGUUCAAAUGUUCAUAAAUGACCAGCAUGGUCAAAUAAUAAUAAUCACAGGCAGAACAGUUGAAACUGGAGCAGCAGCACGGCCAGGCGGACUGGGGACAGCAAGGAGUCAUCAUGCCAGGUAGUCCUGAGGCAUGGUCCUAGGGCUCAGGUCCUCCGAGAGAGAGAAAGAAAGAGAGAAAGAGAGAAUUAGAGAGAGCAUACUUAAAUUCACACAGGACACCGGAUAAGACAGGAGAAGUACUCCAGAUAUAACAAACUGACACAUAAACUACUGCAGCAUAAAUACUGGAGGCGGAGACAGGAGGAGUCAGGAGACACUGUGGAGAGACAGACAGAGAUGGUUACUGAAAGUAGUUCAGGGCAAAGGCAGUCGGUCACCAAGGGGGCAUGUGUGGUCCUGUACCAGAGAAGACAGCUUCAACACACCUCAGAAGACCCAGAACAAUCGUUAGGAUUGAAGCAUAAACACACAAUCACAGAGAGAGAGAGAGAGAGAGGGGGGAGAGAGAGAGAGUAGGAGAGACAGAGAGAGAGACAGAGAGACAGAGAGUAGGAGAGAGAGAGAGAGAGAGAGGGGGGGUAGAGAGAGAGCGAGAGAGAGAGGGGGGUGGACACUGGCCUAUCGCCCCCUCCCUCCCUCCUCCUCUCUCCAUCAGGCUCUAAGCAGCUUGUCAGGUAGCAGCAUCUGAAAGGACCUAAUAGGAAAAAUGUAUUACUUGUAGAAAGGGGAAAACUUAGACUUGAUAUUUGGCUUCUUGCAACCAAAUGUAAGAACAAGGUAAUUUUAAAUGAGUUGUUCCCUCAAUCAAGUGCCCGGUGAAAUGAAAAUAAAAUUAUUUUAAAUUUUUUUUUAACCUUUAUUUACCUAGGCAAGUCAGUUAAGAACAAAUUCUUAUUUUCAAUGACAGCCCAGGAACAGUGGGUUAACUGCCUUGUUCAGGGGCAGAACAACAGAUUUGUACCUUGUCAGCUCAGGGGUUUGAACUUGCAACCUUCCAGUUACUAGUCCAACGCUCUAACCACUAGGCUACCCUGCCACCCCAAAUUGGUGUGUUGAUGCAGAAGUAUACACCCAAGUACGCACAUACAUUCUCUCAUUCACUUCACAGGGCCUGCUGUCAAGUCAUUCAAUCACAUUGGAUAGUGCUCCUCUGCUACUAUAUCCCCUAGGAGCAGGAGAGGACAGUACAGAGAGUCUUGAGAGGCCCAUUGUGUCGGCUCAGUAUUAAGGAGGAUUCUGUUACCUGCAUUAUUAAACAUAGCUUUGCUUACUGUUCUGGUAAGUGGAUCACUGGAGGCUUGGCUUCUAGGUACAAACACACACAUGGACACACAUGGACACAAAGACACAUGGACACACACACUUUAAUACAUGUUUACUGGAAAGGAGCGGUUUGGGUUCACGAGGUGAAAACACUUGACCUUAGCUUGCUGAUUGGACAUUAUCUCCCAAUAUGGCAGACGGCUGUAGAGUUAUGAUCCAUAGUUGACACUAUGCUGGUAAAGGAAUUCCUUUGAACAUGGACCAGCUGACAACAUCCAGUGAGAUGCAAACACACACAUACCCACACACAUGCCCGCACCAGGGUUCAGAUUUUCAUACCAUCAUACCGUUUCUGUACCAUUACUGGUACAGAAUAUAUAUACCAUAUAUACAUAUAUACCAUAUAUAUAAGGUAUUACCUAAUGUGCAAACAAGGGGCGCUAUUUUGUUUUUAAAAAACUGCACAAAACUAUUAAGGCAACAGGGAUCUUGAUCCAGGAGAGGAUUGAAUGUGUCUGCUGUAACCAAGAAGCUUGAUCCGGACAUCUAACCACUUAGCAAGUUAGCAAACCAAAUGCAUAGCUAGAGGCCUGAGCUGGAUAUCAUUUAUUUGAUACAUCUUAGAUUUCUUAUAGUUAUAUAGUUAUACUUAACCAAAGCAGUGGCUGUCUACAGACAGAGGCACACAGACCUUCCUGCCCUCCAUACUGUACACAGUACCUCCCUACACGCCUGCACACAUGCACACACACACACACACACACACACACACACACACACACACACACACACACACACACCCUCUCCUCAAACGUACACCCCUCUCUGCAUUCCCCCUGUCAGAGCUUCUGUAGACCGGUGUGUGUGUGUGUGUGUAGCCCAGAGAGGUAGCCAGGUGCAGACAGGAGGAAUCCAGACAGACACGUCAGAGCGUUUAAAAAGGGAAGCAUGGCUUCUUAGCCCCCUGGGUUAACGGAGGGAGCAGGCAUGGACAUCUAUUCAUACCAGGUUUAGAGAGGGAGACGCAUAGCGCAGGGAGCAGGUUGGCAGACCAGGUCCAGUUACACAUGGGGGGUUCUGGUCAAAGUCAGACAAGCUGACCUCCCUAUAACCUCUGGUACUGAUAUGGGCCUCGAGAGGCGUCCUGGUGUGUAUGCUGUGCAUGUUGACUGUCUAUGGAGUGAUAUUCAGCUGUGCAUGUUGACUGUCUGUGGAGUGAUAUUCAGCUAUGGAGUGAUAUUCAGCUGUGCAUGUUGACUGUCUGUGGAGUGAUAUUCAGCUAUGGAGUGAUAUUCAGCUGUGCAUGUUGACUGUCUGUGGAGUGAUA